CUACUCAUGCAAUCAGUGGAUGCCUUGGCAGUAAAAGCCGAAGAAGGACGUUUCAAGCCUGCGAAAGUUAUCGGGGAGGUGGCAAGAACUUAUGAUCCGGUAGUGUCCGAAUGGGGAAACCUAACCAGAUUUAUCUGGUUGUUACGCUUUGAUUUAUCAAAGUGUUUCGGGAACUUGGGGAACUGAAAUAUCUAAGUACCCAAAGGAAAAGAAAUCGAAUGAGAACCCCUUAGUAAGCGACGAGCGAACAGGGGCGAGUCUAAACCACGAAUUUAUUCGUGGGGUUGCAGGGCCAGACACAACUUAGUUUUUUCGAUAGAAGAACAAUUUGGAAUAGUUGACCAUAGGGGGUGAGAGUCCCGUAUUCGAAAUUGGAAAAACUAAAGUCUGGUACCUAAGUAAAUCUGGAGACGGCAAACUCUAGAUCGAAUCCGGGCCGACCACGGUCCAAGACUAAAUACUUUUACUGACCGAUAGUGAACUAGUACCGCGAGGGAAAGGUGAAAAGAAGGGCGAGUAGCCCUAUUAAAAGAUCCUGAAACUGAUUGCUAACAAACAGACGGAGUCUGCCGUAAGGUGGAUGACGUCGUGCCUAUUGAAGAAUGAGCC
This 609-nucleotide ribosomal RNA is filed under the name Candidatus Collierbacteria bacterium. Its description in RNAcentral is "bacterial LSU rRNA". It matches the Rfam family "Bacterial large subunit ribosomal RNA", at positions 1 to 621 of the family's 2925-position model. The record is from RNAcentral. Lineage: Bacteria; Candidatus Collieribacteriota.